Phrynosoma platyrhinos (Desert horned lizard) is the source of this 72-nucleotide non-coding RNA. NCBI's taxonomy places the organism in Eukaryota, Metazoa, Chordata, Lepidosauria, Squamata, Phrynosomatidae. The record is from the annotation of a GenBank genome assembly.
GCCAGAAUGGUGUAAUGGCUUGAGUACUGAACUAUAACUCUGGAGAUCAGGGUUCAAUUCCCUGUUCUGUCA